Long non-coding RNA from Capsicum annuum, 5800 nucleotides. RefSeq lists it as uncharacterized. The record is from RefSeq and is a predicted model, not a curated record. NCBI's taxonomy places the organism in Eukaryota, Viridiplantae, Streptophyta, Magnoliopsida, Solanales, Solanaceae. The transcript is spliced from 2 exons.
AACAAUUGCCCAUUCCUUCUUCUGCUCUCACAAGUCACAAUCACCAACAAACCCUAAACCUCCAUAGCUGUGUCACCUCAGUCGUACCUCUGCGAAGAUUCGUCCAAAUUUCAUCUCCCCCGACCCGCGAUUUCCCUGUUGGCAGUAAAAUCAGACCUAAAAUGGUGAUACAAUGUUAAAAUCCACAUUAAAGGCCCGAGAAUCGUCCAAAUUCGAGGAGGGAUUUGUCUCUUUUAAUUUUUGAAAUUUCAAUUUCCUCCCCUUUGAUUUGCCCGUUGGCUUCUCUGAUUUUUGAUUUAAAAUUUGGACUUUCUAGUCUGGAUUUCCUAUAAAUAGUCUCAUUUUUUCACUCUAGAGAGGAGGUUGGUUUUUUGGUAAGGAAAAAAUAGAAAAAAAUAGUCUAACGUUUGAAAACCUCGCAAGCAAAUGAUGGUGAAAAUCACUUUGUUUAAUCCUCAAUUUCGGUCGGAAUUUUGAGUCCCCGAGUUUGAAUCUGGUAGCCAGAGAAUUCUCGACAGAAAGCCUCAGUUUUGCUGCACAGCACUAGGUGCGAAUCUCCCCCCUUAUUUUCUUUGUUCAUCAUUUCUUUAUCUCGUUUGGUUUAAAAUGUGUGAUUCUAUUCUAUUUUUAAGUCUGGUUGUUAUUGGUUUUCCAUUGCCUUUGUGGAUAAAAGAAAAUUAUGACUUUUGUGGAUUUAGCCCGUGUGUAAAUAUAACACCAGGUCUGUAAAUAGGUGAAACAUGAUAUUUUGGCUUCAAAUUAGGGUGUGAUGGUGUGUUGUUCGUUAUUUACAAAUUGGGUUCAAUUUUGUUUCCUCCUGAUUCGAAUUUGGGACUGUUGGAAGCGAAAGUAUGUAAAUCUCCUUAUUUACUGUGUUUCCCUGUUUGGAUGUGUAUAUGUGAAUAUGUGUAUGUGGUCGUUCAUCUUGUUUUGGGCAUUGCAUAUUUGUUUAUCAGUGAAUCAAAUCAUGUGUUGUCUUAAAGUACGUGGCUGUUUUGAGUAUAUGAGAGCGAUUCCAUCGCCUCUCGACUCUAUUGUUAUCUUUUCCAUCUGAACUUUGUACUCCUGUUGUUCAUAUUUCCUGGCUGUUUAUUUUCGAAAAUAAGAUGCAUAGUAGUUCUUAUCUAAUUUUGUGGCAUGAUUUUUUAUGGUCUGUCUAUCAUGUUCUCAGCACAUAAUUUUCUUUUCUAUAAAGAAAAUAUAUGUAGAAAUAUAAACAAGGAAAACAAUGAAGGGAGGCUACAAGUUUGUUAGUAAACUUUUUUUUAAAAAUCGACUAAAAUUAUGCCACUUGAGAUUUCUUUCCUGUCUUGUUAAUACAAGAUAAACAUGCUUCUCACAGUUUCUCCCGCCUCUUCUUUAUGUUUUGAUCCAAGCCUUGGAGGGGAUAUAUUUGAAUAAUAUUUAAGUAAUCACUGUUUUGAUAUCUUGAUUGUGAGCUUUCUGCUUUGUUCUUAUUCGAAUUUUUUCUUUGCGUCAGUAUCGGCUGGAAAAAGAGUUCCUACUCCGUUUUGACUUUUUUGUUAUUUUGUAUUAGCGAUAUGUCUUUGUCCUGAUUAUCUAUCAUUCUAUAUAUGUGGCAGUAUAGAGAAUAAAAUAUGUAGUAGUUUUGCAACUCUAGUUUUCUAUUGAUCCUGAAAUCAGAACCUUGGUUGCUUUGGGUUUAGAUGCUCCUUUAGAUUUGGGACGAAUAGAGUUUCGCAAGAAACUUGUUUGUUUGACCAUAAUAUUGUUCGAUCUCAAAUCAGCAGUUUGUCUCCAUCUUUUAUCUGUUUAAUAUUCAUGUGAGAAUAUGUGAGAAUAUGAGUAUUCUUUAAGGUAAAUAGUGGCUGGCUUUAAGAUGUCACAGCUUUGGCCGCUAGUAAUUUGAUUCAUAUUUUUAGUAUCUCUAUGUUAUCUCGUCUACCCCCGUCUAAAGUACGAACCCGUACGUGUGGCUGUUUAAUACAUUUUCUUUAAAGAUUUAAAAAAAAAAUUAAGAUUGCAUCCAGCUUUGUGUAAAAGCCACGUUGGAAGCUUGAUUAAGGUGAUCUCGGAAUGAAACCAUUAGCUUCAGCCCUUUUUUUAUGUUAAAGAACAUACUGUGUGUGUUUCCUGGACAAGUGAAGUCAUAUGAAAGUGUCCUUAAAUUCUAUAAUUCAACUUAUGAUCAAUCUGGAAGUAUAUAAAGCUUGUAAUUCUCUUACUUUAAUAAGUAAACUACCUUCUUAUAGUUUGUUUUACCCUCAAUUUUAUAACAGCUCGAGCUUGCAAUAAGUAGCUGGACGUAAAUGACUGUUUUUUUUGUGAAAAGGUCUUAGACAACUAAUUUGAUUUGAAGGGCCUAGCGACUUUGUGACUGUGGCCUUAAAUUUAUAUUGUGUCUCAAAGUGCUAGAUUACUUUUAGGACCUAGAUUACUUUUAGGACCGUAACGUUAUUCGCACUAGUCUUUUCUUUACACUUUAAAAACAUGCUAAAACUUGAAGUUUCUUGCUAAUCUUUAUCUUUCCUUUCUCUAUUUUUACAUGUACACUCGAGAGCGCAUUUGGAGUUAUGGUUUGACUCCAUCUUAGUCCAAUUCAGAGGGGCGACUAAUAGUUAUUUGUUUGUGUUCACGUCCAGCCCAGCCUGCUCACAUCAAAAGGGUCCAACAUCCCUCUUUCUUCUCUUAGAGUCUACUACUAUUAGUAUUGCCUCGACUAACAUUAUAUCAAUCAAAACUAAUAUUUUCCCAUAUGUUUUUGCUUAUGUGUUUUUAUAUAUUAUAUAUGUCACUUCAGCACAGGUGAUAGUAACACAGAUAUUCGCUUCUCUCCAUUCCCUUUUCGAUACCAAAAAUACUAUAGCCUCUCCGCUUUCACAUUUGAAGCUACUAGAAUAUUGAACGCUACUCGAUUUGGAUCGUUUAUAUCUCAGGCUCAAAUGUUUUUCAUAGAAAUUAGGUUAAACUACAUUUUGGCAAACAGGAUAUAGCUAACCACACUUUUCAGGUUUAUAAGCCAAAAUAAAGUACAAAAUAUGACUAUUUUAAAGGGAUUGAAUAGAGACAAAUUAUAGGCCUAUAGCAUGGAAUCAACUGGAACAUGUUGAUUUUCUUUUAAAUGUGGUAUGUAUUUACGUAUUAUUUUUCCAAAAAUCAUAUAAGUAGUAUGUUUACAAGUUUGAAGAUAUAUUAAUGUUAUUAUCACCCACAGUUAUUGUUUUCACUUGCUACAUUUACAAAUUAUUUCAUAGACCCAUAAUGCACAUUAUGAUACGCACAUCGAUACAUUAUUUCGUAUGCACUUGCUGCAGGCAUAUUUUUAUAUUUUCUAUAUACAUUAUGUAAUACACAUGUUAUUUUAACUAGAUUUUAAAUAUAGGCCAAAGUCAUCGAUAGGCAUUCAAACUUGUUUCGAAAAUUCACUUAGAUUCCUCAACUAUGGCCUGUACCUAUUAGGUUCCUAAACCCCCCCGAAUUUGAUUCAAUUGGGCCUUUUUUACCUACAUGGUAUUGCGUGUGUUUUUCACUCACUACGGGCACGUGAAGCACGAUUUUUUGACUAAAUAACAAAUAAAAACAUGCCAAGUGGUACUGAGAGCCCAAAAAUAAUAAUAAAACAAGUUUUUUUUAAAAUAAUCUUUUUUCUCUUCCUCUUUCUUUUUCAUUUUCUUUAUAAAUAAUGUUUUCUCUCUCCUCUUCAUAAUUUUUUACUUACGACUCUUUCUUUGCCAUUUCUUAUUUCUUUCUCUUUCAUUUCUUACUUUUUCUUUCUCAUUUUCCUUUUAAAUAAUUUUUUCUUUUUCUCCUCUUCAUAGAUUACUAUUAUCUCCCUAUCACUCCACACCAAAUAUUUACGAUCUAACUUCUCGUGAUAAGUUUCAUCGAAAUUGAAAAUUUUUAUUUUGGGUAUUGAACUUACGAUGAAAUAAGUGUGAUAAAUUAGAUAAGAUUUGUUGAAAAAAUAUUUUUGAAAUUGAAAAUUUGAUGAAAUUAGUCCAAAAAUAUCAAAAUUUGGGAAUUUUCUGACGAAAUUGGUGUGGAAAUUUGGGGAAUUGAAGUCUUGAGCUGUUUCUGUUGAAAUGUUGGAAAUUUGGAGGUGAAAUUUAGUGAAAAGAUUCAAACUUUAGGAAAAUAUAAAGUGAAUUUUUGAUAAGUUUUAGUGUAUUUUUUUAUUGAAUUGGCAUUAUGAGACUCGUGUUGUGAGGAGAAGUUUUUGGCAAUUUUGAGCUGAUUUUGUUGAAGUGUGUCAAGAUUUGGAGGUGAAUUUAAUGCCUGUUUUCUUAGAUUGAUAUUACCAGAUUCGUGUAGUCAGACGUUUCUGAUGUUUUUGAGCUGGUUUAGUUGAGGUUUAGGUGAAUUUGGUGCAUUUUUUGUUAUAUUGGCAUUACCAGAUUAGUGUGUGGAAGGAGGGAAGGGGGUUGAAGAAGGCGACGAUUGGGGUGGGUGGUUUUUUUUUUUAAAUUAAGAAAUUAUUAUUAGAUAAAUAAUUAAAUAGAAAAAUGGACAAAUUAGCAAUUUCAUCAUAUAAUUAUUAUUGUUGCCACGUGUUUUUUUUAAUUGGUUAAUUUUUUCACGUCAUCACGUGUGUUUUACACACACUUGAGAUUUUAGCUGAUUGACAAAAAAAGGCCCAAUAGGAAUAAAAUUCGGGGGGUUUAGGGGCCUAAUAGGUAUAGGCCAUAGUUGAGGGGUCUAAGUGAAUUUUCAAAAGAAGUUUGAGUGUCCGUCGAUGACUUUGGUCUCAAAUAUAUAUACUAUUUCACGUACAUCGCGCCAUCUCACAUUCAAUAUAUAUUAUUGGCCAGACCCAUCGAUAGCCCCUCAAACUUGUCCCUAAAACUCACUUAGGCCCCUAAACUAAGGCUUGUACCUAUCAAACCCCUAAACUCUCCAAUUUUGUUCCUAUUGGGCAUUUUUUGCCCACAUGGCACUGCGCGUGCUGUGCAACCGCCUGAGGUGCGUGAAAACUAAAAAAAAUUAUCCAUGUGGCAAAAGUUAACGUUAAAUAACGCUAGUUUUGCCAUUCCCUUCAAUUUUCCUCUUUUUAACCUAAAUUUACUCUUCCUCUUUCUUCAUUCUCUCCUCCUUAGAUGAGUUCUCAUCAACUUCUCUCAUCUCACUAUCAAAGUUAUCUCCUAAUUUCUCUUAAAUAAUUUUUUUCUCUCAUUUUCGAUGAAAAUGUUGGAAAAUUCCGUCAAUAUUGAUGUUUUCGAUUUGUGUUACUGUUCCGAAUUUUGUCCUUUAAGAACUUCAAGGACUCCUUCAAAUAUGGGUCGUAGAUUUUUUGGAUGUAAAGCUCCAAAGGAAAAUGGUGGUUGUGGGUACUUUAGAUGGAUUGAUCCAAAACCUUCAAUAUCUGUGCAUCAAUAUCCUGAGGUAGAAUCGAGCUUAAUGAUUAGGUGCAAAGAUGGUGAAAAAUCGUGUGAUUGAUUGAAGCAAAAGCUCAAAGACGUUGAACAAGAGAGGGAUACUUUGUGUGAGAAAUUGAAAGAUAGUGAAGGGAAGUUGAUUGCAUUGAGGCAAAAACUCAAAAAAGUUAAACUUGAAAAGGAAUGUGCUAAGCUCAAAUUGUAUAGACGUGUUCUACUUCUUCUCAUUAUUCUAACUGUAAAGUGGUUCUUUAAUAUGGUGUAAGGUGUAGUAGUUAAGUUUGCCUAUUGAAUAGGCAAUUGGAUAUUGUAAUGGUUAGUUUGUAAUAGUUGUUUCGUUAGUUUGUAGUAGUAGUUGUUUGUUCAGUUUGUAGUUGGCCUAGUUUGUAGUAGUUGUUUGGUUUGUUUGUAGUAGUUGUUUGAAUGAAUUGACAUAUUUUUGUAUGACAGUCUCAUUGUCAAUUGGC